UACGGAGGGUGCAAGCGUUGCUCGGAAUUACUGGGCGUAAAGGGCGUGUAGGCGGUUUCGUAUGUCUGGCGUGAAAGCCCCGGGCUCACCUCGGGAAGUGCGUCGGAAACUGCGAGACUAGAGUCCCGGAGAGGGAGGUGGAAUUCCAGGUGUAGCGGUGAAAUGCGUAGAUAUCUGGAAGAACACCGGUGGCGAAAGCGGCCUCCUGGACGGUGACUGACGCUGAGACGCGAAAGCGUGGGGAGCAAACAGGAUUAGAAACCCUAGUAGUCC
RNAcentral lists this ribosomal RNA (273 nucleotides) under uncultured prokaryote. RNAcentral's name for it is "partial 16S ribosomal RNA". It matches the Rfam family "Bacterial small subunit ribosomal RNA", at positions 524 to 796 of the family's 1533-position model. The record is from RNAcentral.